UCCCCGAUACUUUCGGACAUUUGCAGCGGUUCCCACUGGACCAAACAAACUCCAAUUAGGGCAUUAAAGUUAGGUCAGGUUUUAGAUGAAUUGAAGUGCUGCGAAUCUGGUUGAAUUUCAAUAUAAACCCUGAGCAUUGUGUUGUUAUUUGUGUAGUGUGUUUUGAAGCUUUGUACUCUCCUAUAGACUCGCCGAAUGAAUUACGAAAGAUAAGAUUCAGUAUCAAAUGUGUUCCUUAUUUCGACGAUUCA
Non-coding RNA from Cinara cedri, 251 nucleotides. Lineage: Eukaryota; Metazoa; Arthropoda; Insecta; Hemiptera; Aphididae. The record is from the annotation of a GenBank genome assembly.